CCCUUAGAUGUUCGGGGCCGCACGCGCGCUACACUGAAGGACUCAGCGUGUCUCUCCCCCUAUCCCGAAAGGGAUGGGCAACCCGUUGAACCUCCUUCGUGCUAGGGAUUGGGGUUUGCAAUUAUCCCCCAUGAACGAGGAAUUCCUAGUAAGCGCGAGUCAGCAGCUCGCGCUGAUUACGUCCCUGCCCUUUGUACACACCGCCCGUCGCUCCUACCAAUGGGUGAUCCGGUGAAUGACUCGGACUCUGGAAUUAGCUAUUUAUAGCUUUUAUCCGGAGGAAGUUUUGUGAACCUUAUCACUUGGAGGAAGGAGAAGUCGUAACA
This 326-nucleotide ribosomal RNA is filed under the name uncultured eukaryote. RNAcentral's name for it is "partial 18S ribosomal RNA". It matches the Rfam family "Eukaryotic small subunit ribosomal RNA", at positions 1470 to 1796 of the family's 1831-position model. The record is from RNAcentral.